GAUGAACGCUGGCGGCGUGCCUAAUACAUGCAAGUCGAGCGAACGGACGAGAAGCUUGCUUCUCUGAUGUUAGCGGCGGACGGGUGAGUAACACGUGGAUAACCUACCUAUAAGACUGGGAUAACUUCGGGAAACCGGAGCUAAUACCGGAGGAUAUUUUGAACCGCAUGGUUCAAAAGUGAAAGACGGUCUUGCUGUCACUUAUAGAUGGAUCCGCGCUGCAUUAGCUAGUUGGUAAGGUAACGGCUUACCAAGGCAACGAUGCAUAGCCGACCUGAGAGGGUGGUCGGCCACACUGGAACUGAGCCACGGUCCAGACUCCUACGGGAGGCAGCAGUAGGCAAUCGUCCGCAAUGGGCGAAAGCCUGACGGAGCAACGCCGCGUGAGUGAUGAAGGUCUUCGGAUCGUAAAACUCUGUUAUUAGGGAAGAACAUAUGUGUAAGGAACUGUGCACAUCUUGACGGUACCUAAUCAGAAAGCCACGGCUAACUACGUG
RNAcentral lists this ribosomal RNA (497 nucleotides) under uncultured bacterium. RNAcentral's name for it is "partial 16S ribosomal RNA". It matches the Rfam family "Bacterial small subunit ribosomal RNA", at positions 28 to 507 of the family's 1533-position model. The record is from RNAcentral.